CAGCCGCCGCGGGAAAACCAGCACCUCGAGUGGUCAGGAGGUUUAUUGGGCCUAAAGCAUCCGUAGCCGGUUGCAUAAGUUUUCGGUUAAAUCUAUGCGCUUAACGUAUAGGCCGCCGAAAAUACUGUGCAGCUAGGGAGUGGGAGAGGUACACGGUACUCGAUAGGAAGGGGUAAAAUCCUUUGAUCUAUUGAUGACCACCUGUGGCGAAGGCGGUGUACCAGAACACGUUCGACGGUGAGGGAUGAAAGCUGGGGGAGCAAACCGGAUUAGAUACCCCCGUAGUCCCUGUCUCUUAUAC
RNAcentral lists this ribosomal RNA (301 nucleotides) under uncultured bacterium. Its description in RNAcentral is "partial 16S ribosomal RNA". It matches the Rfam family "Archaeal small subunit ribosomal RNA", at positions 459 to 760 of the family's 1478-position model. The record is from RNAcentral.